Molecule: ribosomal RNA, 450 nt
Filed under: uncultured bacterium
Lineage: Bacteria
Description: partial 16S ribosomal RNA
Rfam family: Bacterial small subunit ribosomal RNA
Source: RNAcentral
GUGGGGAAUUUUGGACAAUGGGCGAAAGCCUGAUCCAGCCAUGCCGCGUGCAGGAUGAAGGCCUUCGGGUUGUAAACUGCUUUUGUACGGAACGAAAAGACUCCUUCUAAUAAAGGGGGUCCAUGACGGUACCGUAAGAAUAAGCACCGGCUAACUACGUGCCAGCAGCCGCGGUAAUACGUAGGGUGCAAGCGUUAAUCGGAAUUACUGGGCGUAAAGAGUGCGCAGGCGGUUAUAUAAGACAGAUGUGAAAUCCCCGGGCUCAACCUGGGAACUGCAUUUGUGACUGUAUAGCUAGAGUACGGUAGAGGGGGAUGGAAUUCCGCGUGUAGCAGUGAAAUGCGUAGAUAUGCGGAGGAACACCGAUGGCGAAGGCAAUCCCCUGGACCUGUACUGACGCUCAUGCACGAAAGCGUGGGGAGCAAACAGGAUUAGAAACCCCGGUAGUCC